Molecule: ribosomal RNA, 262 nt
Filed under: uncultured Stenotrophomonas sp.
Lineage: Bacteria; Pseudomonadati; Pseudomonadota; Gammaproteobacteria; Lysobacterales; Lysobacteraceae
Description: partial 16S ribosomal RNA
Rfam family: Bacterial small subunit ribosomal RNA
Source: RNAcentral
CGGAGUGGCGGACGGGUGAGGAAUACAUCGGAAUCUACUCUGUCGUGGGGGAUAACGUAGGGAAACUUACGCUAAUACCGCAUACGACCUACGGGUGAAAGCAGGGGAUCUUCGGACCUUGCGCGAUUGAAUGAGCCGAUGUCGGAUUAGCUAGUUGGCGGGGUAAAGGCCCACCAAGGCGACGAUCCGUAGCUGGUCUGAGAGGAUGAUCAGCCACACUGGAACUGAGACACGGUCCAGACUCCUACGGGAGGCAGCAGUU